RNAcentral lists this ribosomal RNA (1448 nucleotides) under uncultured organism. Its description in RNAcentral is "SSU rRNA". It matches the Rfam family "Bacterial small subunit ribosomal RNA". The record is from RNAcentral.
AUGAACGCUAUCUACAGGCUUAACACAUGCAAGUCGAGGGGCAUCAGGAAGAAAGCUUGCUUUCUUUGCUGGCGACCGGCGCACGGGUGAGUAACACGUAUCCAACCUGCCCUUUACUCGGGGAUAGCCUUUCGAAAGAAAGAUUAAUACCCGAUGGCAUAAUGAUUCCGCAUGGUUUCAUUAUUAAAGGAUUCCGGUAAAGGAUGGGGAUGCGUUCCAUUAGGUUGUUGGUGAGGUAACGGCUCACCAAGCCUUCGAUGGAUAGGGGUUCUGAGAGGAAGGUCCCCCACAUUGGAACUGAGACACGGUCCAAACUCCUACGGGAGGCAGCAGUGAGGAAUAUUGGUCAAUGGGCGCUAGCCUGAACCAGCCAAGUAGCGUAAAGGAUGAAGGCUCUAUGGGUCGUAAACUUCUUUUAUAUAAGAAUAAAGUGCAGUAUGUAUACUGUUUUGUAUGUAUUAUAUGAAUAAGGAUCGGCUAACUCCGUGCCAGCAGCCGCGGUAAUACGGAGGAUCCGAGCGUUAUCCGGAUUUAUUGGGUUUAAAGGGAGCGUAGGUGGACUGGUAAGUCAGUUGUGAAAGUUUGCGGCUCAACCGUAAAAUUGCAGUUGAUACUGUCAGUCUUGAGUACAGUAGAGGUGGGCGGAAUUCGUGGUGUAGCGGUGAAAUGCUUAGAUAUCACGAAGAACUCCGAUUGCGAAGGCAGCUCACUGGACUGCAACUGACACUGAUGCUCGAAAGUGUGGGUAUCAAACAGGAUUAGAUACCCUGGUAGUCCACACAGUAAACGAUGAAUACUCGCUGUUUGCGAUAUACAGUAAGCGGCCAAGCGAAAGCAUUAAGUAUUCCACCUGGGGAGUACGCCGGCAACGGUGAAACUCAAAGGAAUUGACGGGGGCCCGCACAAGCGGAGGAACAUGUGGUUUAAUUCGAUGAUACGCGAGGAACCUUACCCGGGCUUAAAUUGCAGUGGAAUGAUGUGGAAACAUGUCAGUGAGCAAUCACCGCUGUGAAGGUGCUGCAUGGUUGUCGUCAGCUCGUGCCGUGAGGUGUCGGCUUAAGUGCCAUAACGAGCGCAACCCUUAUCUUUAGUUACUAACAGGUUAUGCUGAGGACUCUAGAGAGACUGCCGUCGUAAGAUGUGAGGAAGGUGGGGAUGACGUCAAAUCAGCACGGCCCUUACGUCCGGGGCUACACACGUGUUACAAUGGGGGGUACAGAAGGCAGCUAGCGGGUGACCGUAUGCUAAUCCCAAAAGCCUCUCUCAGUUCGGAUCGAAGUCUGCAACCCGACUUCGUGAAGCUGGAUUCGCUAGUAAUCGCGCAUCAGCCACGGCGCGGUGAAUACGUUCCCGGGCCUUGUACACACCGCCCGUCAAGCCAUGGGAGCCGGGGGUACCUGAAGUACGUAACCGCAAGGAUCGUCCUAGGGUAAAACUGGUGACUGGGG